This 496-nucleotide long non-coding RNA is filed under the name Trifolium pratense (red clover). RNAcentral describes it as "long non-coding RNA (TPRA_LNC013781)". Lineage: Eukaryota; Viridiplantae; Streptophyta; Magnoliopsida; Fabales; Fabaceae. The record is from RNAcentral.
CUAAGGGUAUGUUUGGUUCGGGGUUUUUGGAGGGGAUGGGAGGGGAGGUGAGGGAAUAUUUUAAAUGUUUUGUGUUUGGUUCAAAUUUUAUGAGGGGAGAGGAGGGGAGGGGAGGUGAGCAAAAUCCCUCCAAUGAUCAAUUUUUGCUUCCCCCCAAAUUGGGGGGAUUUGGAGGGGAGGGGAGGUGAGGAGAGAUGAAUUAUUAUAAUUUUAAUUACAUUGACAUAAUUAUCCUCAUAUUUAUUUGAAAAUACCAAAACUUUCCUUUUAAAAUUUAUAUUAAAUCAUACUAAGUUAUUUGUUUGUUGCCAUUUUUUGUACGUUGCUAACAUCCUGUGUUUAUUUUUUACCUGUACUAUUUUUUUUUUGUUUUAAUGUACUUUUUUUUACAAGAUACUUGUUUUUAUUUUUUACCUAUCCUACAACAUUUUUGGAUGAAUACUUUUUUUUUAUAUAUAAUAAAAUGAACACUUUUUAAUUCAUUGCACUGUACAUA